AGAGUUUGAUCCUGGCUCAGGACGAACGCUGGCGGCGUGCCUAAUACAUGCAAGUCGAGCGGACAGAUGGGAGCUUGCUCCCUGAUGUUAGCGGCGGACGGGUGAGUAACACGUGGGUAACCUGCCUGUAAGACUGGGAUAACUCCGGGAAACCGGGGCUAAUACCGGAUGGUUGUUUGAACCGCAUGGUUCAAACAUAAAAGGUGGCUUCGGCUACCACUUACAGAUGGACCCGCGGCGCAUUAGCUAGUUGGUGAGGUAACGGCUCACCAAGGCAACGAUGCGUAGCCGACCUGAGAGGGUGAUCGGCCACACUGGGACUGAGACACGGCCCAGACUCCUACGGGAGGCAGCAGUAGGGAAUCUUCCGCAAUGGACGAAAGUCUGACGGAGCAACGCCGCGUGAGUGAUGAAGGUUUUCGGAUCGUAAAGCUCUGUUGUUAGGGAAGAACAAGUACCGUUCGAAUAGGGCGGUACCUUGACGGUACCUAACCAGAAAGCCACGGCUAACUACGUGCCAGCAGCCGCGGUAAUACGUAGGUGGCAAGCGUUGUCCGGAAUUAUUGGGCGUAAAGGGCUCGCAGGCGGUUUCUUAAGUCUGAUGUGAAAGCCCCCGGCUCAACCGGGGAGGGUCAUUGGAAACUGGGGAACUUGAGUGCAGAAGAGGAGAGUGGAAUUCCACGUGUAGCGGUGAAAUGCGUAGAGAUGUGGAGGAACACCAGUGGCGAAGGCGACUCUCUGGUCUGUAACUGACGCUGAGGAGCGAAAGCGUGGGGAGCGAACAGGAUUAGAUACCCUGGUAGUCCACGCCGUAAACGAUGAGUGCUAAGUGUUAGGGGGUUUCCGCCCCUUAGUGCUGCAGCUAACGCAUUAAGCACUCCGCCUGGGGAGUACGGUCGCAAGACUGAAACUCAAAGGAAUUGACGGGGGCCCGCACAAGCGGUGGAGCAUGUGGUUUAAUUCGAAGCAACGCGAAGAACCUUACCAGGUCUUGACAUCCUCUGACAAUCCUAGAGAUAGGACGUCCCCUUCGGGGGCAGAGUGACAGGUGGUGCAUGGUUGUCGUCAGCUCGUGUCGUGAGAUGUUGGGUUAAGUCCCGCAACGAGCGCAACCCUUGAUCUUAGUUGCCAGCAUUCAGUUGGGCACUCUAAGGUGACUGCCGGUGACAAACCGGAGGAAGGUGGGGAUGACGUCAAAUCAUCAUGCCCCUUAUGACCUGGGCUACACACGUGCUACAAUGGACAGAACAAAGGGCAGCGAAACCGCCAGGUUAAGCCAAUCCCGCAAAUCUGUUCUCAGUUCGGAUCGCAGUCUGUAACUCGACUGCGUGAGGCCGGAAUCGCUAGUAAUCGCGGAUCAGCAUGCCGCGGUGAAUACGUUCCC
This 1384-nucleotide ribosomal RNA is filed under the name metagenome. RNAcentral's name for it is "bacterial SSU rRNA". It matches the Rfam family "Bacterial small subunit ribosomal RNA", at positions 8 to 1375 of the family's 1533-position model. The record is from RNAcentral.